Molecule: ribosomal RNA, 200 nt
Filed under: uncultured bacterium
Lineage: Bacteria
Description: partial 16S ribosomal RNA
Rfam family: Bacterial small subunit ribosomal RNA
Source: RNAcentral
UGGGGAAUAUUGCACAAUGGGCGCAAGCCUGAUGCAGCCAUGCCGCGUGUGUGAAGAAAGGCCUUCGGGUUGUAAAGCACUUUCAGCGAGGAGGAAGGGUUCAGUGUUAAUAGCACUGUUCAUUGACGUUACUCGCAGAAGAAGCACCGGCUAACUCCGUGCCAGCAGCCGCGGUAUACGGAGGGUGCAAGCGUUAAUCG